Molecule: non-coding RNA, 240 nt
Organism: Parasteatoda tepidariorum (common house spider)
Lineage: Eukaryota; Metazoa; Arthropoda; Arachnida; Araneae; Theridiidae
Source: RefSeq, a predicted model, not a curated record
AAGAGCGAUUGUUGCUGAAUCCUUUGAGGUUCUACUAGAUGAAACGGACCAUUAUGAUUAUUUUUCAACACCCCGUGCGCUUCUCUCGAUACACUCCCCAUUCGCAUUAAUUGAUCCAAAUUUUGACGGAGUUGCUCUUGUGCCAAAUAGGGAAUAUAAAAUACACGUCAAGUUGGAAGAAGAUCAUAAGCUGAAGCUUCCGUACAAAACAGAUUGCCGGGACUAUGAAAAAGAAUGGAU